UGAUAGGUUCAAAUGUUGACCAGGACAACGAUUACCAACUGCAUGAAAUAUGGAAAAGAAAACUUGAAGAUUUCGAGAACAGCAAUGCCAAAAGAACCAAAAGAACAGAUAUGAAUGAUCAGGCUAAAGCAAGCAAAGCUGAUGAUAAUAAGAAGAAAAGAGAAAAAUUGAAACA
This is a long non-coding RNA of Mizuhopecten yessoensis (Yesso scallop), 175 nucleotides long. RefSeq lists it as uncharacterized. NCBI's taxonomy places the organism in Eukaryota, Metazoa, Mollusca, Bivalvia, Pectinida, Pectinidae. The transcript has 3 exons. The record is from RefSeq and is a predicted model, not a curated record.